This 383-nucleotide ribosomal RNA is filed under the name uncultured bacterium. RNAcentral's name for it is "bacterial SSU rRNA". It matches the Rfam family "Bacterial small subunit ribosomal RNA", at positions 28 to 408 of the family's 1533-position model. The record is from RNAcentral.
GAUGAACGCUAGCGGCAGGCUUAAUACAUGCAAGUCGUGGGGCAGCGCAGGUAGCAAUACUGGGCGGCGACCGGCAAACGGGUGCGGAACACGUACACAACCUUCCGAGAAGUGGGGAAUAGCCCAGAGAAAUUUGGAUUAAUACCCCGUAACAUAACGAUGUGGCAUCACAUUGUUAUUAUAGCUUCGGCGCUUCUUGAUGGGUGUGCGGCUGAUUAGAUAGUUGGCGGGGUAACGGCCCACCAAGUCUACGAUCAGUAGCUGAUGUGAGAGCAUGAUCAGCCACACGGGCACUGAGACACGGGCCCGACUCCUACGGGAGGCAGCAGUAAGGAAUAUUGGUCAAUGGACGCAAGUCUGAACCAGCCAUGCCGCGUGAAGGA